RNAcentral lists this ribosomal RNA (633 nucleotides) under uncultured archaeon. RNAcentral describes it as "bacterial SSU rRNA". It matches the Rfam family "Archaeal small subunit ribosomal RNA", at positions 192 to 825 of the family's 1478-position model. The record is from RNAcentral.
AGCUCCGGCGCCUAAGGAUGGGUCUGCGGCCUAUCAGGUAGUAGUGGGUGUAGCGUACCUACUAGCCUACGACGGGUACGGGUUGUGAGAGCAAGAGCCCGGAGAUGGAUUCUGAGACACGAAUCCAGGCCCUACGGGGUGCAGCAGGCGCGAAAACUUUACAAUGCUGGCAACAGCGAUAAGGGAACCUCGAGUGCCAGGUUACAAAUCUGGCUGUCGAGAUGCCUAAAAAGCAUUUCAUAGCAAGGGCCGGGCAAGACCGGUGCCAGCCGCCGCGGUAACACCGGCGGCUCGAGUGGUAACCGUUAUUAUUGGGUCUAAAGGGUCUGUAGCCGGCCGGAUAAGUCUCUUGAGAAAUCUGGCAGCUUAACUGUCAGGCUUUCAGGAGAUACUGUCUGGCUCGAGGCCGGGAGAGGUGAGAGGUACUUCAGGGGUAGGGGUGAAAUCUUGUAAUCCUUGAAGGACCACCAGUGGCGAAGGCGUCUCACCAGAACGGACCUGACGGCAAGGGACGAAAGCUAGGGGCACGAACCGGAUUAGAUACCCGGGUAGUCCUAGCCGUAAACGAUACUCGCUAGGUGUCGGCCACGGUGCGACCGUUGUCGGUGCCGUAGGGAAGCCGUGAAGCGAGCC